RNAcentral lists this ribosomal RNA (485 nucleotides) under Glomus sp. RNAcentral describes it as "SSU rRNA". It matches the Rfam family "Eukaryotic small subunit ribosomal RNA", at positions 591 to 1078 of the family's 1831-position model. Lineage: Eukaryota; Fungi; Glomeromycota; Glomeromycetes; Glomerales; Glomeraceae. The record is from RNAcentral.
CCAAUAGCGUAUAUUAAAGUUGUUGCAGUUAAAAAGCUCGUAGUUGAAUUUCGGGAUCAAUACGUCGGUCGUGCUUCGGUACGUACUAACGUUAUUGGUUUCUCCCUUCUAACAAAUCGUGAUGUCAUUAAUUUGGUGUUACGGGGAGUUAGGACUGUUACUUUGAAAAAAUUAGAGUGUUUAAAGCAGGCAAUCGCUCGAAUACAUUAGCAUGGAAUAAUGAAAUAGGACGUUCGAACCUAUUUUGUUGGUUUCUAGGAUCGACGUAAUGAUUAAUAGGGAUAGUUGGGGGCAUUAGUAUUCAAUUGUCAGAGGUGAAAUUCUUGGAUUUAUUGAAGACUAACUACUGCGAAAGCAUUUGCCAAGGAUGUUUUCAUUAAUCAAGAACGAAAGUUAGGGGAUCGAAGACGAUCAGAUACCGUCGUAGUCUUAACCAUAAACUAUGCCGACUAGGGAUCGGAUGAUGUUAAUUUUUUAAUGACUCA